Micropterus dolomieu (smallmouth bass) is the source of this 847-nucleotide long non-coding RNA. RefSeq lists it as uncharacterized. Lineage: Eukaryota; Metazoa; Chordata; Actinopteri; Centrarchiformes; Centrarchidae. The record is from RefSeq and is a predicted model, not a curated record. The transcript is spliced from 3 exons.
UUAAUUCGGCAAGAUGUUCUAGUAAACAGGCAGGUGCAGAGUGUUAUUACAGCAGAGAAUAUUAUCUGAUUUCUUGAAACAUCACCAUGAUUAUUUGAUAGAAUGAACGAGUGUUUCAGGUUCAGCCAUUACGACUUAUGUCAGGGGAGAUUUAGGAGUUAAUGGGUGCUGCAAAUCGAGCUGUUUCACCGAUGAUGAUCUUUUUGUUUUUCAUUCCGAUAUUACAGUAAGCUCAUUUCAGUUUCUUCAGACUGUUGCCCUUUGCAUGAAGCUCAACCCCCCAUGGCCUGAAUGUUUGCUUUUAUAAGGAGUCGACUUUCUUCACGAGUUUGUGACAAUAUUUUGGACUUUGGACCGCAGUUCACAUGCAUUUCUUUCUAAUAGUGCAUUUUCAAAAUAAGUUCCCAUCACUCAAGUCUUUCCAGGAAUUGGAAUUUCACCAAGUUUUUGAUCAACAGAGAAGGUCAGGUGGUGAAGAGAUAUGGACCCCUGGAUGAUCCAAGUGUGGUGGAGAAGGAUCUUCCCCGAUACCUUUAAACAUCUAAUAGAUGAAUGAUGCUUCCUGAUACUCUGUCCAUUUUGACCAAUUCCUUUCUGUGCCUCUCCAAGCACCAGGGGAUAUAGUUUGGGUCCACCCCAGACCAGUGACGGUCUGUCCAUAAACCUGCAUGGCGGACAGGGCAGACCUGAUGAAAAUGGCGUGCAAACCUCCUGGGACGAACUCCAAGCUUGUUUUCAACUGUUUGGUCUGGAGAGACGGAGAAAGGAUCUAGCAAUGCAUCAUUAGCUCUUUUAGUUAAUUAAUGUCUGGCAUCGUUUUCAUAAUAAAGUCAUAUAGUAAUAAAUA